AAAAAUUUAAAAAUACUAUAGCCGAUGAAUAAACCUUUAAAUAUCGUCGGCUAAAGUUGCUGGUUUUUGAGAAAAAAAACUGUAGAAACUUUCGGCCACCUCCAAUCACCACCAAAUUUAACAAAAUCUUCCUCUCAACAUUUCGAACAACUUUCUAGAAGAAAUCGAAGCCCAAUUCUAAGCCUAAACAGGUUAAUUGAAUCAAAAUAUAAAAAUCCCCAAUUUUAAACCCUAAAAACUUCAAAUCUUCGAUUCUCCUCACACACACCGAAUCGAGCUACCAAAUUCUAGGGGAAUGUAGUACUAAUCAAACUCAACUUAUCCAUAUAUAGAACUCACCAAAUGGUGACCUGAGGAAGGAGAAAUUCGAUCGACACCGAAUCCGAACCGGCAGAGUUUUGGAGCUCGAUUUAUCCCUCACGGCGGCGCCACUCGAUGCACCACCUGUCCAGCAAUGAAGUAGAGACGACGGCGAAGCUUUUGGGACAAUUGUGGCGGUCUCCGGUGGCUUGAUGGCGGAGUUAGGCCGAGAAGAAAAUCUGGCAGGCGAAAUAGACUUCUUACCAUCCAUCUGCGGUAAAACUCCUAUAUAAAGAACUUUAGCCGACGAAAUUCUUUAUUUUCGUCGGCUAAACUCUUUUGAAAAUUUUGGUUGACAAAAUUUUUCGACUUUAGCCGACGACUUUUCAUAUAUUUUCAUCGGCUAAAGUCCUUUAAAAAUUUUCCUCCAAAUUUGGUUUACCGCCCAAAAAUUUUUGACCUUAGCCGACGACUUUUUUAAUAUCUCGUCGGCUAAAGUCUAUAAAUUCACGAAAACGCUCGUAUCUCCCUCUAUAUUACGUAGUUUAGUCAAACCUUCCACACGAAAAACUUUCACGUAGAUGAGACGCAACCGCCUAUAUAAAAAUUGUGAGACAUUUACCUUCCGACGAUAGGGCUCCCCAUAGGGAAUAAUAACGGUAAAUAGGGUUGACCGCUACUAUCGGCACCGAGGCUUUACCCGAUUUACGUGAUUUUUGAACCAUAGCCGUAUUUGACCAUUCUGAACACAUCUUAUUUCACGAGAUUUUUGAUAAUUUUGCUUCCUAUAUAGAGUUGGUUCACAAAAUUGUAUAACCUACUAAACAAGUUAUAUAACAUUAGUAAACACGUUGUGAUUCUGAUGACUAAAAUUCACAAACCAAAAUUCGACCGUCAGAUAUGAUCAUUAUGAUGAAAGAGGUCUGUGGUAAAAAAUUCAACUGGAUCCAACAACGUUAAGGACUCGAUCGAAACGGUCAAUCCUAAUCCAUCGUCACUUAUCACACGAAAAUGCUCAUAUCUCCCUCUAUAUUACGUGGUUUGGUCAAACCUUCC
Molecule: long non-coding RNA, 1356 nt
Filed under: Fragaria vesca (wild strawberry)
Lineage: Eukaryota; Viridiplantae; Streptophyta; Magnoliopsida; Rosales; Rosaceae
Description: long non-coding RNA (FVES_LNC004516)
Source: RNAcentral